RNAcentral lists this ribosomal RNA (1198 nucleotides) under Salmonella enterica subsp. enterica serovar Typhimurium. RNAcentral's name for it is "bacterial LSU rRNA". It matches the Rfam family "Bacterial large subunit ribosomal RNA", at positions 910 to 2007 of the family's 2925-position model. The record is from RNAcentral. Lineage: Bacteria; Pseudomonadati; Pseudomonadota; Gammaproteobacteria; Enterobacterales; Enterobacteriaceae.
CUGUUUCGGCUAGGGGGCCAUCCCGGCUUACCAACCCGAUGCAAACUGCGAAUACCGGAGAAUGCUAUCACGGGAGACACACGGCGGGUGCUAACGUCCGUCGUGAAGAGGGAAACAACCCAGACCGCCAGCUAAGGUCCCAAAGUCAUGGUUAAGUGGGAAACGAUGUGGGAAGGCCCAGACAGCCAGGAUGUUGGCUUAGAAGCAGCCAUCAUUUAAAGAAAGCGUAAUAGCUCACUGGUCGAGUCGGCCUGCGCGGAAGAUGUAACGGGGCUAAACCAUGCACCGAAGCUGCGGCAGCGAACGUAUCACUUAAAGCGAUUCAGCGGGUUACGAUUGACGGAGCGAAGCGACGUCAAAGCGUAUACAAAGUCGAGUCGGUUUAAGGAUACGUUCGUUGGGUAGGGGAGCGUUCUGUAAGCCCGUGAAGGUGGCCUGUGAGGGUUGCUGGAGGUAUCAGAAGUGCGAAUGCUGACAUAAGUAACGAUAAAGCGGGUGAAAAGCCCGCUCGCCGGAAGACCAAGGGUUCCUGUCCAACGUUAAUCGGGGCAGGGUGAGUCGACCCCUAAGGCGAGGCCGAAAGGCGUAGUCGAUGGGAAACGGGUUAAUAUUCCCGUACUUGGUGUUACUGCGAAGGGGGGACGGAGAAGGCUAUGUUGGCCGGGCGACGGUUGUCCCGGUUUAAGCGUGUAGGUGUGUGUUCCAGGUAAAUCCGGUUCACUUUAACACUGAGGCGUGAUGACGAGGCACUACGGUGCUGAAGCAACAAAUGCCCUGCUUCCAGGAAAAGCCUCUAAGCAUCAGGUAACAUCAAAUCGUACCCCAAACCGACACAGGUGGUCAGGUAGAGAAUACCAAGGCGCUUGAGAGAACUCGGGUGAAGGAACUAGGCAAAAUGGUGCCGUAACUUCGGGAGAAGGCACGCUGACACGUAGGUGAAGUGAUUUACUCACGGAGCUGAAGUCAGUCGAAGAUACCAGCUGGCUGCAACUGUUUAUUAAAAACACAGCACUGUGCAAACACGAAAGUGGACGUAUACGGUGUGACGCCUGCCCGGUGCCGGAAGGUUAAUUGAUGGGGUCAGCGCAAGCGAAGCUCCUGAUCGAAGCCCCGGUAAACGGCGGCCGUAACUAUAACGGUCCUAAGGUAGCGAAAUUCCUUGUCGGGUAAGUUCCGACCUGCACGAAUGGCGUAAUGA